AACGAACGCUGGCGGCAUGCCUAACACAUGCAAGUCGAACGAGACCUUCGGGUCUAGUGGCGCAGGGGUGCGUAACGCGUGGGAACCUGCCCUUAGGUUCGGAAUAACUCCCCGAAAGGGGUGCUAAUACCGGAUAAUGUCUUCGGACCAAAGAUUUAUCGCCUGUGGAUGGGCCCGCGUUGGAUUAGCUAGUUGGUAGGGUAAAAGCCUACCAAGGCGACGAUCCAUAGCUGGUCUGAGAGGAUGAUCAGCCACACUGGGACUGAGACACGGCCCAGACUCCUACGGGAGGCAGCAGUGGGGAAUAUUGGACAAUGGGCGAAAGCCUGAUCCAGCAAUGCCGCGUGAGUGAUGAAGGCCUUAGGGUUGUAAAGCUCUUUUACCCGGGAUGAUAAUGACAGUACCGGGAGAAUAAGCUCCGGCUAACUCCGUG
RNAcentral lists this ribosomal RNA (433 nucleotides) under uncultured bacterium. RNAcentral describes it as "partial 16S ribosomal RNA". It matches the Rfam family "Bacterial small subunit ribosomal RNA", at positions 29 to 507 of the family's 1533-position model. The record is from RNAcentral.